This 541-nucleotide long non-coding RNA is filed under the name Oryctolagus cuniculus (rabbit). RNAcentral's name for it is "lncRNA (ENSOCUG00000038715.1)". Lineage: Eukaryota; Metazoa; Chordata; Mammalia; Lagomorpha; Leporidae. The record is from RNAcentral.
AUGGAGACCAAGGCCAUCAGUCCACAGUUCAGAGCGCAGAAACUCCUCCACGCUGUGAAACGUUCCCUUCAAGGAUUCUGGAAGGCAAAGGUGUCCACCUGGGGUAAGGAAAGCAAGCUCGGAAGUGCUCUGUUACGGGAUGCUGCGUUUCACCAGUUACAGGAAUGCCUAAAGCUGCUUGCCCAAGAAGAUGCUGAAAGGCAGGAGAGAGUGCAGGAGCCAAAGGAACAGGAAGAAAUGCUUGAAAACUUCAACACACAAGGUAGCAAGUUGAAAUGAUAGAGUCAUUUAAAAUCUCUGCCACCCUGCCAGUGACCAUAAGAGUGCCUGAUCUCUGUAGAGAAGAGUAUGAGGAUGAGGCAACAAGGAAUUGAGCUAAAAUGGUGAAUCCAAAGAUGAAAAUCAAGGGUACCAGCCUCAAGUGAAUGUGAAGAAACUCAUCAACACUAUUAUAUGUUUUUUAUUAAGAACUUGAAAGAGAAAAAUGGGAUAUAUAAAAGAUUUUUAUGAAUAAAAUAUUAUAUGAUAAAGGAAGGAAGCA